CCUACGGGUGGCAGCAGUGGGGAAUAUUGGACAAUGGGCGAAAGCCUGAUCCAGCCAUGCCGCGUGUGUGAAGAAGGCCUUCGGGUUGUAAAGCACUUUCAGUGGGGAAGAAAGCCUUAGGGCUAAUACCCUCGAGGAAGGACAUCACCCACAGAAGAAGCACCGGCUAACUCCGUGCCAGCAGCCGCGGUAAUACGGAGGGUGCGAGCGUUAAUCGGAAUUACUGGGCGUAAAGCGCGCGUAGGCGGUCUGAUAAGCCGGUUGUGAAAGCCCCGGGCUCAACCUGGGAACGGCAUCCGGAACUGUCAGGCUAGAGUGCAGGAGAGGAAGGUAGAAUUCCCGGUGUAGCGGUGAAAUGCGUAGAGAUCGGGAGGAAUACCAGUGGCGAAGGCGGCCUUCUGGACUGACACUGACGCUGAGGUGCGAAAGCGUGGGUAGCAAACAGGAUUAGAUACCCGAGUAGUC
This 465-nucleotide ribosomal RNA is filed under the name Vreelandella stevensii. RNAcentral's name for it is "partial 16S ribosomal RNA". It matches the Rfam family "Bacterial small subunit ribosomal RNA", at positions 338 to 795 of the family's 1533-position model. Lineage: Bacteria; Pseudomonadati; Pseudomonadota; Gammaproteobacteria; Oceanospirillales; Halomonadaceae. The record is from RNAcentral.